GACGAACGCUGGCGGCGUGCUUAACACAUGCCAGUCGAACGGAAAGGCCCUGCUUUUGUGGGGUGCUCGAGUGGCGAACGGGUGAGUAACACGUGAGUAACCUGCCCUUGACUUUGGGAUAACUUCAGGAAACUGGGGCUAAUACCGGAUAGGAGCUCCUGCUGCAUGGUGGGGGUUGGAAAGUUUCGGCGGUUGGGGAUGGACUCGCGGCUUAUCAGCUUGUUGGUUGGGUAGUGGCUUACCAAGGCUUUGACGGGUAGCCGGCCUGAGAGGGUGACCGGCCACAUUGGGACUGAGAUACGGCCCAGACUCCUACGGGAGGCAGCAGUGGGGAAUAUUGCACAAUGGGCGGAAGCCUGAUGCAGCAACGCCGCGUGCGGGAUGACGGCCUUCGGGUUGUAAACCGCUUUCGCCUGUGACGAAGCGUGAGUGACGGUAAUGGGUAAAGAAGCACCGGCUAACUACGUG
Molecule: ribosomal RNA, 468 nt
Filed under: uncultured bacterium
Lineage: Bacteria
Description: partial 16S ribosomal RNA
Rfam family: Bacterial small subunit ribosomal RNA
Source: RNAcentral